RNAcentral lists this ribosomal RNA (1461 nucleotides) under Acinetobacter sp. RNAcentral describes it as "bacterial SSU rRNA". It matches the Rfam family "Bacterial small subunit ribosomal RNA". The record is from RNAcentral. RNAcentral also lists the same sequence under 1 other name. Lineage: Bacteria; Pseudomonadati; Pseudomonadota; Gammaproteobacteria; Moraxellales; Moraxellaceae.
CAGAUUGAACGCUGGCGGCAGGCUUAACACAUGCAAGUCGAGCGGAGAGAGGUAGCUUGCUACUGAUCUUAGCGGCGGACGGGUGAGUAAUGCUUAGGAAUCUGCCUAUUAGUGGGGGACAACAUUCCGAAAGGGAUGCUAAUACCGCAUACGCCCUACGGGGGAAAGCAGGGGAUCAUUAGACCUUGCGCUAAUAGAUGAGCCUAAGUCGGAUUAGCUAGUUGGUGGGGUAAAGGCCUACCAAGGCGACGAUCUGUAGCGGGUCUGAGAGGAUGAUCCGCCACACUGGGACUGAGACACGGCCCAGACUCCUACGGGAGGCAGCAGUGGGGAAUAUUGGACAAUGGGGGGAACCCUGAUCCAGCCAUGCCGCGUGUGUGAAGAAGGCCUUUUGGUUGUAAAGCACUUUAAGCGAGGAGGAGGCUACUCUGGUUAAUACCCAGGGAUAGUGGACGUUACUCGCAGAAUAAGCACCGGCUAACUCUGUGCCAGCAGCCGCGGUAAUACAGAGGGUGCGAGCGUUAAUCGGAUUUACUGGGCGUAAAGCGUACGUAGGCGGCUUUUUAAGUCGGAUGUGAAAUCCCUGAGCUUAACUUAGGAAUUGCAUUCGAUACUGGGAAGCUAGAGUAUGGGAGAGGAUGGUAGAAUUCCAGGUGUAGCGGUGAAAUGCGUAGAGAUCUGGAGGAAUACCGAUGGCGAAGGCAGCCAUCUGGCCUAAUACUGACGCUGAGGUACGAAAGCAUGGGGAGCAAACAGGAUUAGAUACCCUGGUAGUCCAUGCCGUAAACGAUGUCUACUAGCCGUUGGGGCCUUUGAGGCUUUAGUGGCGCAGCUAACGCGAUAAGUAGACCGCCUGGGGAGUACGGUCGCAAGACUAAAACUCAAAUGAAUUGACGGGGGCCCGCACAAGCGGUGGAGCAUGUGGUUUAAUUCGAUGCAACGCGAAGAACCUUACCUGGUCUUGACAUAGUAAGAACUUUCCAGAGAUGGAUUGGUGCCUUCGGGAACUUACAUACAGGUGCUGCAUGGCUGUCGUCAGCUCGUGUCGUGAGAUGUUGGGUUAAGUCCCGCAACGAGCGCAACCCUUUUCCUUAUUUGCCAGCACUUCGGGUGGGAACUUUAAGGAUACUGCCAGUGACAAACUGGAGGAAGGCGGGGACGACGUCAAGUCAUCAUGGCCCUUACGACCAGGGCUACACACGUGCUACAAUGGUCGGUACAAAGGGUUGCUACCUAGCGAUAGGAUGCUAAUCUCAAAAAGCCGAUCGUAGUCCGGAUUGGAGUCUGCAACUCGACUCCAUGAAGUCGGAAUCGCUAGUAAUCGCGGAUCAGAAUGCCGCGGUGAAUACGUUCCCGGGCCUUGUACACACCGCCCGUCACACCAUGGGAGUUUGUUGCACCAGAAGUAGGUAGUCUAACCGUAAGGAGGACGCUUACCACGGUGUGGCCGACGACKKGGGU